Molecule: ribosomal RNA, 481 nt
Filed under: uncultured Marmoricola sp.
Lineage: Bacteria; Bacillati; Actinomycetota; Actinomycetes; Propionibacteriales; Nocardioidaceae
Description: bacterial SSU rRNA
Rfam family: Bacterial small subunit ribosomal RNA
Source: RNAcentral
AGAGUUGAUCCUGGCUCAGGACGAACGCUGGCGGCGUGCUUAACACAUGCAAGUCGAGCGGUAAGGCCCUUCGGGGUACACGAGCGGCGAACGGGUGAGUAACACGUGAGUAAUCUGCCCUUCACUUCGGGAUAACUCCGGGAAACCGGUGCUAAUACCGAAUAUGACCAUGCCGGGCAUCUGGUGUGGUGGAAAGUUCCGGCGGUGAUGGAUGAGCUCGCGGCCUAUCAGCUUGUUGGUGGGGUAGUGGCCUACCAAGGCUUCGACGGGUAGCCGGCCUGAGAGGGUGACCGGCCACACUGGGACUGAGACACGGCCCAGACUCCUACGGGAGGCAGCAGUGGGGAAUAUUGGACAAUGGGCGAAAGCCUGAUCCAGCAACGCCGCGUGAGGGAUGACGGCCUUCGGGUUGUAAACCUCUUUCACCUAUGACGAAGCGCAAGUGACGGUAGUAGGAGAAGAAGCACCGGCCAACUACGUG